GGCGAGUGAAGCGGCAACAGCUCAAAUUUGAAAUCUGGUCACCUUACGGAGGCCCGAGUUGUAAUUUGAAGAGGAUGCUUUUGGCGAGGUGCCUUCCGAGUGCCCUGGAACGGGACGCCACAGAGGGUGAGAGCCCCGUAUGGUUGGACACCGAGCCUAUGUAAAGCUCCUUCGACGAGUCGAGUAGUUUGGGAAUGCUGCUCAAAAUGGGAGGUAAACCCCUUCUAAAGCUAAAUAUUGGCCAGAGACCGAUAGCGCACAAGUAGAGUGAUCGAAAGAUGAAAAGCACUUUGAAAAGAGAGUUAAACAGCACGUGAAAUUGUUGAAAGGGAAGCGCUUGCGACCAGACUUGCGCCCGUCGGAUCAACCGUCGCUUGUCGGCGGCGCACUCCGGCGGGCUCAGGCCAGCAUCAGUUUUCCCGGGGGGAGAAAGGCGGUGGGAAUGUAGCUCCUAGGAGUGUUAUAGCCCGCCGCGUAAUACCCUCGGGGGGACUGAGGACCGCGCAUCUGCAAGGAUGC
RNAcentral lists this ribosomal RNA (519 nucleotides) under uncultured Doratomyces. RNAcentral's name for it is "eukaryotic LSU rRNA". It matches the Rfam family "Eukaryotic large subunit ribosomal RNA", at positions 88 to 626 of the family's 3401-position model. The record is from RNAcentral. Lineage: Eukaryota; Fungi; Ascomycota; Sordariomycetes; Microascales.